UGGUGGCUUAUGCUGCUGAUGACUUCUUUAUAAAUGGCAAAUUUUCCUCAGUAAUACUAUUGAGGCAUUCUGUAGUAUAUCAUCAAGCAAGGACUGGGGGAAUUGUGCUAAUGUGAAUUUUUGGUUUGGUUAUAAAAGAGACAGUUGCUGAGCAUGUCUGUUGUGAAAUAUUCAUGUAUCUAGGCUAGAAUAUUGAUUGAUAUUAGGUACUAUAAUAAACCGAUACCACUCAUCCAAGGUCUUUAUGUUGCUCUCAGAUAGUCGUAGAAAUUUAUCACUUAAUUAAGUGAUAAUGUAAAAAUGUUGUGUGUGUGUCAGACUUUUUUGGUUUCUGGUUCAUCUUGGAUCUUUCUUUUCCCAUCUACUUGGCACACUAGGUUACAGUAGAUUCCAAACACUAGGAUCCUGUCCUUUAUUAGACCACUGCUUCUAAAACUAUGAGUCCCGACAUCAAAUUGUUAGCUCAGUGUUAGAGUCACAAAAAAAUUGACAUCAGUAAACAUUUUCUGAACUUCACCUAAUGAAUGGUUUAGACAUUUACAUGAAUCUAUGGUGCAGUGUUUACAGUGGACUGUGCAGAAGAUGCUUCAGCUGUGCUUCAUAAAAAUCAACCUGUUUAGCAUGCCUUGCAAAUGCGGAUUUGUGAUCAGUAAAUGUUUGCUUUUUAAAAUUUAUUUUAUAUACCAAAACUACAUACUUGGGGUGACAUAAACAUUUCUCAGGCCAAGAGGGGUCCCAAGUGGAAAGGUUUAAGAACGCUUGCUUUAGACUGCUAUGAAAAUUGAUGCUCUGGUAUACAUAGUGAGAGAACAUGGGUUAUUAUUCAACUAUGAGGCUUAAUUGCACGUCCAUAUGUUAUUGGGGAGACAGACAUGUCCGGCUUAUUCUUUCUAGAACAUUUCAGGAGUUUGGAAAACUCCAGAGCCCUGGAAGAGUAUCUUCCCAUUUUCAUUGCUUAGAAUAAAAAGUUAACAAAUAUAUUUUCAGCGAGGUCUUUCUUUGGCACCCUUGGCUACUAGUUAUUCUGUAUUGAUAUGUCUGGCCUAUGGAGGUUCUGAGCAAAGGGAAGAAGCAAUUAGGGCACAAACAGUGGGUUGGGAAUUAAAACUGUUGAUAAAGCGACCCCUGGUGUUGCUGUCUAUAAAGUGCCAUAUGACCAAAGGUGCAGUUACCUAGUGUAUCUGAACUUUGCCCAUCCGACAAAUGAGGCAUGUUAUAUUCUGCAGAAGGGUUUUCCUUUUAUUCAACUUGGUUUGAGGACUGCUUUUUAAAAUUCAGAAUUGGAUUUGGUAUUGGAAAUUUACUCAUGUCCAGUGUCCUUGAUGGUAUGGGUUGGAAAAAACUCUUGUUGAUUGAACUCAUGCCACUCCAGGCUGAGAAAAGCUGGUGGGAAACUGGACCUUUUGACACUUUUAGCCAAGGAGAUUUGUGGUAAUAUGCAGUUGCUCUUUAUGUGCUGAUGGCUUUUCUUGUACAGCUUCAUUUCUCUAAUCACUUUAUUCACUGUAUAACAAAAAGUUUACACUAUAAAUAAUGACACCAAGCUCUGUUUUUCCUUUUUAUGCAGACCUGGUAGUUCAAACUGGUUAGGAGGAAAUGGAUGCAGUUGAGAAAUAACAAGCAUAAAACAAAUAUGAAUAGCACCAAAUGUGAUGUGUAGUGAGAUUAUGAGAUACAGAUAUGUGACACCAGACUAUUCAGGUUGGAGGAGUGAGCAAUAGGUAAGAUUUUCGAAAGAACAAAAGUAUAGAUUAAGGUAAACAUUAACUUCCUCGGAGUUAAUUCUUCUUUGGACUGUAUGUGAAUACCCAGCUUAAAGAUGGUAAAAAUUAAUGAACAUUUCACUUCAGUGUGCCAAAAAGAAAUCCAGUGAUAGGUAUUUUAGUUGGUAUUUUAAUAUUGCAGCCUUAUAACAUAAUGAAAGUUUUAGAAAACUGUGUACAGCUUCACUUAUCAAUUUUUUAAAGUGUAAAUUGCUUUGAUGCUGUGCAAAACUAAUUAGUGACAAUCAUAUCUUGUGGGAAAGUGUUCUGCUUUGUAUACAUAUGCAUAGUGUGAAAAGGAAAUACUAGUCAUGUCUGUCCUGAAUCUACAUCACUUAACUUCAUUGAGAGGUACCAAGCGAGGCAAAAAGCAUGCCUAGAAUCUACUUACACAGAAUUGUACUAAUACUGUAUUUCAGCACAUAAUAGUUGCACUUUUUAACCUUUCUUUUUUACAGAAAAAGGUGGAUGCAACUCUUACAUGGCGAAAGGGGUAGGGCAGUUUUUUGUACCCCAAAAAACCAAGCAUCCCUCUUCAUGUAUCUUGCUGCAGUACGUACUGUAAACCACAGCUUUGCUUACUCAUCUGCUACCUUUCAGGCACAGCAUGUCCUGUGGCUGAGUCUAAAAACAUGGCAAGUGAGUGAGUGCAUAAAGCGCCACUUCACUUGCCCACAUGCCCGCUCACCUUACAGACACAGCACUUCAUGUGGCUGAGUGCUUUCGGACUGAACCGCAUGAAUUGCCAUGCUUGAAAAGGGGAAGGUGAAUCAGUUGUUUGUGUAGUGCAGCAAGACAAGCAGAAGAUAAGUUUAGCUAGGCCGUUUAAGGCAGGGAGGCUGUCUUCUGCUGGCUACACUAUGUGCUGGCCGUCUGCCAGUAGUACAUUAGGGCGAUGAAUUAACAAUGUGACUAUUGUGCAAGGAAAGCAAAAAUACCGAUUUUUUUACCUCCUAAAAUGUUGGUGCGACUGUUACAUGGUAGCGACUAUUAUAUGAUGAAAUAUUAUACUUCAAAAAUAAGCUCUUUAAUCACCUUCUAUAAACUCUUAAGUCAGGAGCCUGCAACUUUGGUGGGUCUGUGGGUCCUGUGUCCUCUACGGCCACAUAUUUCCUUCUAGAAAUAUUGAGGUUUGUGAAGAUGUGUGUAUUUGUCUUCAGAAUUGGAAGUAACUAGAAGUUCAGUUCUGGUUUGGGGAAAAUACAGAAACAGUUCCUUUUCACAAAAACAGGAAUGGAUAAAUGCCUCAGUUUAGGGGUCAAUAACAUGGCGGAAUUAUUUCCUGCAGGCCUUUUUAAAAGUAUAACUUCUGGUCGACUUCCUAAUGCAAAAGAAGGCCCUGGAGGCAGGACCUUCUUUUGCAUGUAGCAAAAUUGCCACCCAUGCCCUUUAGCCUAAAAUUGGGGGUGAUAAAGAACCUUGGGAGCUUUUAAAAACACCUGUGCUUUCCUCUUAUCCUUCUUUAGAUGAGAAUAGCUGCCCAUGGGAGCUUCUCGAAGCAAGAGUUUUUGUUUUGUCCUGCUCAUCAAUCCUCUUGAGUCCCUCUUCGGAGGCUGAGAUAGGACGGGAUAUAAAAGCCCAAAAUAAAUAAAUGAUAAAUUUUGAACAGAAUUCUUUUUCACAGGGAGACACAUAACACACACAAUUGGCUUGUAUUCACUUGUGUUAUGUUGCUGUCAUAAGUGUUUUAUGCUUCCACACAAGAGAAAGGUUUCUUCAUCUUUUAAAGAUGUCCUUUUGCUAUAAUUUUACCAGCAUUAUAGCAUCCUUUUUGAGAUAACUAGAAAUAAACAUAGGUUGGAUUCCUGUGGGGUUAGUCCCAGAGUAGACAGGUUCAGUUUAGGGUUGCCAUGCAUCAGAAAUGACAACAAUAAAGACAUUUGAUAGAUCUGAACAAUUCUUUGGUUGAGGUAUGUCUUGAUUUCGAAAAGGCUUCUAACAAAUCCCUCCAUUCUUUCUGGCAAGCUGGGGAACCAGUUAACUAUAGCUGUUUAAUAUGCUACAAGUGAAGGGCACACAAUAAAUGGUUUUACCACUACUUCUGUUUUGGUUUUGGACCUUAAGAGAUUUCUCUUUUAUGAAUUUGGAUAUCUCUUUAUUUUUACAAAAAAAAAAAAAUCCCCCAAAUAUUCGGACGUAAUAUAACUUAUCAAGACUUUACUGUUUUGAAGCCCCAGUAGGAUAGCAGCAGCCUGCUAAGAUUUAACACUAUUUCACCAGCUUUUAAAAAGCUGUGUCUAGAAAAGAGGAGUUAUCUUAUAUUACUAUCAUUGUUAGUGUUAAUACAAUGUUUAUUGUCAUUUCAUUAAUAAAACUUAAAAGUAAAAUUUAGACCAUGAAUAAUGAAGCAAUUUCUCAAUAUCCUUCACAGCAGUUCUAAUUCAAUAUAGAGAUGCUCUUCCUCAAAUGAGAAAUAGGUGGUUUGUGGCAAGAGGAGGAAAAUAAAUGACUGUUCAAGGCAAUGGGCCCAAAAGGUAAGUCUUCAAAAGGAACUGAGGAGAAGUCACAAGAUAACUGUUUGUUCAUUCAAUAAAUUCAUAAACUAGACUACUACAAAUGGAACUUAAGAUGUCUUACAAAAAGAACUAAUACAGAUACAUAAAAUGAAUACAAGCAUAAAAAGUAAAAUUUAAAAACACCAAUAAAAGAAAACCAGAACACAGUACAAGUGACAAUAUUGACUAUCAUGCUGGUUUCAUGUUACAGCUAGAAAUGUAGAAACAACCAAACUUCUGAAAUCUAAUGACCCGAAUUUAAAGAAUAAAUAAUAAUAGUAAUAAUAACAAUAACUUUAUUUUUAUACCCUGCCUCCAUUUCCCUGAAGGGACUUGAGAUGGCUUACACAUGGGACAAAUGUCCACAACAUUAAAGCAAAACAAUGCAUUAAAAAAAAAACCAAUUAAAAUAAAACAUAGCAAAGCAUAACUAUCAAAUAAAACACAAAACAUAAGGAUAUAAAACAGCAUCAUUAAAACUCAAACAAUAUACAACAAAAAACCAAUAACUAAGGUGGGCAUGAUCAGGGUAUAAAGAUGGCCGUGCCUGGGAUAGUGUGAAACAGCAUAGUAUAGGGCCAGGGGAUUAGAAGAAAUGCAGAGAACAGUACUAUGGUGAGCUAGGGACUGGGCAUUUAUAAGUAGGGACUAGUCAUUCUCAAAUGUUUGUUGGAACAUCCAGGUUUUUAGAUCCCUACGAAAGGAGAACAGUGAAGGGGCUUACCUAAUCUCCCUGGAGAGGGUGUUCCGAAGUCGGGGGGCACCACCAAGAAGGUCCUCUCUCUUGUUCCCACCAGCCAUGUGUGUGAUGAUGGUGGAAGCGAGAGGAGGGCCUCCUCGGCAGAUCUUGGAGCAUGUGCUGGUUCAUCGGGGGGAUGCAGUCACAAAUCCAUUUAUUGGGAUUUUAUUAAGCUUUAAUCUACCUAGGUUUCUUGAUGUGCAAAAAACAAAAAUAAAGGGAAACAUCAGUUUUUAUAUUAUGUAGUGGCCCGGAAAAGGUUAGUGGAAGCCAGCUGGUUACUUUCAUCUGCAGAUAAGAUAAUUUUGCCACCUAAAGAUGAGCUUUGUUCUUUUAGACUCCUUCCAGUUUGGAACUUUAUCCAACAUUACUUUCCAGCUUUGCUUAUAUGAUUUUCCUUCCUUGCAUUUUCCGCUUUCUACAGAGCCUGGAUUUAAGUGAGAACUCAAUUUUAUAUUUUAAAAAAUGAAGGAAUCAGUUACAACUAAUGCAUUUGUUUUAUUUAUGAAAGUAUUUGUGUCCUACCCACUAUAUUAGCUUCUCAGGGAAGUGUAAAGUAAAACUGGUAUUUGAAUGAAAGUGGCAGUGGCUUCCAUGUAACUUUGAAUAGAUUUGAACACAUUCCUUAAAUGAAACUCAUUUAAAAAUGCUAGGUCAUGUAUAUUCCUUGUGUUCUGGUUUUUAUUGAAAAUAUUUAUACCCCAUAUUUCUGCCUUAUAACAGGUGCCCAAGGUGACUGGUAAGUGAGCAUGAAUAACUGAGAUUAUUUAAAAGGCAAUGGUGAUUUAAAAAUACUUGGUGGGAAGUGUCUUGGUGGUGGAAAAUGUUCACUUCCCAUAUUUAAGAUGUGGAAGCUGCUGUUACUUCAAUUGCCUCUCUACUUAUCCUCUGUCCUUAUGCAGUUUAUUCUUCCUGAUAAUGGAGAUAGAGGUUUUGCUAAAAUAACAGUGAUUUGGCACUCAUAGAGGCUGCUGUGUGUUGCAUACAUUAUACCAAAAGAUGCAUGGAUGCCUAAGACACAAUUGGAUUUCUGCAUUGAGAAGUACUAUAUAUGCUCAUGUGAAUGUCGACCUUAUAUAUAAGUUGCAGGGAACUUUUGGGGCCAGAAUUAGGAUUUUGAUAUGACCCACAGAUAAGUCAAGGGUUAGUCCAUGGAGAGGGGAAAGCACCAGCAUUGCCUCACCACCCCGCUGCCAUCACCAUUUUCUUACCCAGGCAUUCAAAAGGUCCAGAAAGGGUGCCUAGGUGAAGAUAGUGGAGGGGUUGGGUCUUAUUUUAGGUUCUCCCAGAAUGGGCUGAACUUUUAUGUUUUGCCACUGUACUCAGACAAGGGGAUAGUUAUUUUUUAUAUAUAUAAGAGUUAGAAUUAUAGUACUUAGAUUGACCUGUGGAUUAAUCAGUCUGGCUUUUUGGGGUCAAUUUUUGACUAAAAUUUCUAGACUUAUGCAUGAGUAUAGACAGUAGUCCACUGAACAUCUGAUAAAACAGCAUAGUGUGAGAGGAAAAGGAAACUGAAAAAAGACUGCAAUUUACACUACUCCAUGUUUGUACUUUCGUGACAUACAAACUCUCACACAAAGAGUCCAAAGGAUGUGAAACAUUGAACAGAGGGAGGGGGAGGCAUAAUCAAUACUACUGUUUUCUAUAGUUGACACUUCUUUGUACAACAAGAGAUCAUGUGGAAAAACAGCUUGUCCAAAUUUAUUUCUCUGCCUUUCCAGCCCAUGCAAGUGAUAAUACAGAACUAGUGAGGCUCAUGGGCUAAGCACCAUCCUCCUGACAACAGCAUUAUAACAACCCCAUCUCUUAAUGCAAGGAUAGUCUGAAUUACUUUUCACAUACCUCUCACAAGGUUUGCCUCCCCAAAACAUUUGCAUGUGAUGUGUUUCUGUUUGCACAUGAAUAGAGAUAAAGACUGCAAACAAAACUUCUGUUGCAUUACUGAUACUAACUGUUCUAGUGAAUGAUUUUAUAGUCAUAGUCUGCUAAAAACUUAGCCAUAAUGACUACUCUUUAGGUUGCUUUGCUCGCAUUAAAUACAUGUGUAUAGAACAUAUAUCCCUAUAGCAAAAUCUGUCAACUUCCUACCUUCCAGACUUUUUGGGCUGCAAUAUUCAUCUCCAGCCACCAUUUGGAAUCAUAGAGUUGGAAAAGACCCCAGAGGCCAUACAAUCCAACCUUUCUCUGCCAUUCAGAGAAACACAAUUAACUCACUCUUGACAGAUGGCUAUCAAGCCUCUGUUUAAAACCUCCAGAGAAGAGACUCCAUCAUAAUCUGAGGGUAUAUAUUCCACUAUUGAACAGCACUUACUGUCAGGCAGCUCUUUCUUAACAGUCAGGUGACAUCUCUUCCUAUAGUUUGAAUCCAUUAGUCUGUGUCCUUAUCUGUUUAGCUGCACAAAGUAUUAUGUUAUUGUUGUUGAAACUUCAAAUAUGAUGUCAUUUGACAGGCUUAUUACUUAUAAACACAAUAUAGAGGAAGAACUUCUCUUUGUCAUGGAUAAAUGUCCAUAUUCAUUUGUUUAGCAGCAGAAAACAAGCUUUUCCCCUCCUCAAUGUGACAUCCUUUCAAAUAUAUAAACAUCGUACCUGUCCAAAUGUAUCUCCUUCUAUGUCCCACCUCAGAGCUUAAGAUCUUCUGGGGAGGCCCUGCUCUCAGCCCAGCCUUUGUCUCAAACACAUUUGGUGGGGACGAGGGACAGGGACUUCUCUGUGGUGGUCCCCGUCUGUGGAAUUCGCUUCCCGGGGAAAUUAGGUAAUCAUCAUCCCUCCUCACCAUUAGAAAAAGGGUUAGAACAUGGUUGUGGGACCAGGCCUUCGGGGAAAAUAAGGUUAAAGGACAAUUGAUAAUGUUUGACUAUGGCUUGGAAGAGGAUUUGGAUAAGUUAAGCAGAGUAAUCUUUAGUAUUUGGGUAGCUAAAUAGCCACCAGACUGGCAAUAGCUAAAUAGAUCGUAAGUAUACUGUCUUAAUCUUUAUUUAUUAAUGUUUAUGUUUUAAUUGUUAUUUUGCUAUUUUGUAUUUUAUGAUGCGGCAUUGAAUUAUUGCCAAUUGGAAGCCGCCCUGAGUUCUCCUAGGGGUUGAGAAGGGCGGGGUAAAAAAUGUUCGAAAUAAAAUAAAAAAAUGAAAAAUCACUAUAAUCUCUUCUCCCAAUCUUCUCUUCACCAAGCUAAACAUACCUGGAGAAGAGAAGGUUGUGAGGUGAUAAUUGUCAUAAUGAAAAAUGCGAGGCAUCUUCUAUCCAGUGCAUUUGAUAUGCUGAAAGAUAACAUUUAUGAUAUGUAUAUUUUCUUUUGGUUCUCCUAAUGGGUAGUUAUGAAAAGAGCCCAGUCUGUCAUGCACUAUUUUUUACAUAGUUGGCAGAUACUCAAAUGAGUAGGGUGAUUUUCUGUGAAAUUUCUUUGGUCCUCAGUAAUACUUUCUGCUUAGUUUUUAAGGCUCUCAAUGCACCCGAGUGUAAGCCCCCUUGAACACAAUUGGAGUUAUCUUUCAGUAGAUGUGAUUACAAUUUUACUUCUUGAAGUACAAAUCUUUCCAACUGUAGAAGAGAGGAACCUUUAAAGGUGAGUUACUAGUUUCUUGGAAUACUAGCAGAUUAAGCAGGUGUUAUAUUUGGAAAGGGACAGGUUUAGGGAUCUGUUAGAUCUGCUACCUUCAUAGUAUAUUUUAGUUUAUAAUUUUUUAAUCUAAUUCUACAGCAUAUGGUGCUAGAGGCACUUAGGUGUAUGUUUUAAGAUUUUAAUUAGACUUACUAAUUUUGAGCCAGUUCACUUGCACAUUGAGAUACAUAGGCAACAGUUUCAAAAAGAUAUUCCUUUAUUUCCAUCCUUUAUUUUUCUUGAUUGCUGCCUAUUACACAUAGUAAACAAACCAUACACUUAUUACAGGUUUCCCCAUUUCUGCAGAGUUGUUCUUACUGAAACAGUUCAUUCAUAUUCUUGCUUUAAUUUCCAGUUUUGGGCUAAAGGUUCAAGAAAUAGUGAAAUAGAAGAAACAAGAAAGCAGAUGCCAGAAAAAAUGAAGGAGUAUUCUGAAUGGAAUUUCUGACUGGGGCCCUAUUCUGCUUGCUUACAUCGAUGGGGUACUUUCACAUAUGAUUCACAUCUCAAUAAAGGGACAGCAUAGAAGAAGUCCUACUGGCUCAGUCCAAAAGCUGAUCUUGUUUUGAACAGUACCAGCCACCCUCCUACAUACAGGUCUGCAGCUUGCUUUUGACAAUACAAUUAUUUCAAAGGAAAUUACAGUUCAUGUUACCUGCUAGAGGAGGUCCACUGGUGAUUCCAAAUCCAGCAAUAAAUGAGGCAAAUCCCAAAGCACUGUGGAAAGUGGAGGCACCUACAAGAUCUACCUGUUGAGAGAACCAAUAUUAUUGCAUGGGUGUACUAUGGUCAUGUAUUAUCAGCACUUUGGGAAUGUAUAGCUGGAAUAGGAUUAAAAAGGUUUAAAUAAAAUACACUACAUACUCACGCAUAAGCCUUGAAAUUUUAGUCAAAAAUUAACUUAAAAACUGGCUUGACUAAUCUGUAUUUUUUUAAAGGAACCAUCCCCAUCUCUGAACAGAGUGGCAAAAGGCCAGAGCUUAGUCUGUCCCGGGAGAACCUUAAAGAAACACUGACUCUCUCUUCUCUCUCUGCCAUGGUGACACUUCUGGCUUUUUUGAAUGCUUGGGUGGGGAAAUGGUGAUGGCCAUGCGUUCCUCUCUCUGCAAAAUGAUAUUGGACCUAUCCAAAUGUUUUAUCAAGAAUUGUAAUUUUGGCCACAAAACCUGGGCUUAUACAUGAGUAUAUAUAGUAAUUAGAAUUGAUUUCAGCUUUUAACAAUUAAAUCUUGUUUGUCCAGACUCAGAAUUGCAAUGGAUCUCCUACUACUGUUCUGCCUGACUCGUAGUGAGGUGAGAACAUGCUUAGCUCUUGCCUCAAAUGGAGUAAUGGAAUAUGAGUGUGAAAAUCUGAAAGUUUCAUCAGUCUUCAAGCCACCAUGACCCCUUCAGAAUGCUAGGCCAUUUGGUUAAUGUCCCCUACUUUGAUAUCGUGGAUAGAAGUUCUGAGUGGCAAGGAGGAUUGUGAGUCUUACAUUUUUCUUCUUAUUUUUUUCUUGAUUUGCUUUCUGGCUUUGUAAAUUAUUGUACUCACUUGAAUCUAACGCUCACCUUUUUUUGACUAAAUGACCUUGCCAAAAUUGAGUCACACAUCAGAUUUGCUUCAUAUAGUAAUCUUAGUACUGAGCCAAAGCAAAAGGGGAAGCUGCUUCAGGAAGACCACCUGAAUCUCCUCUUUGAGGGAUGUUAUCUCUAAUCCCAGGGCUCAAUGCUAUGCAACCCUAGGAUUUGUAGUUUGGUGAGGCACCAGCAGAGAAGGCUCAAAACUUUGUCAAACUACAGCCUACAGGAUUCCAUAGCAUUGAACAAAGGCAAUUAAAGUCAAUUCAUUCUACAGAAUAGAUGUACCCCAAGGUUUUCUUUUCUAUCACUAGAAGAAAUUAUACGCAUGCAGUCGCUGUAAUGCAUACCUUUUUUACCAACUUACAAAGAGUGCACGUUUUGCUGUUGCAUAUCACAAUCGGCAGCAAAUCCUUUUUUGUCUUUAGGAUGUUGAAAAUUGAGGUGCACAUUAGAUUCAAACGCUCUUUAGACUCAAGUAAAUAUAUUUCCCUUCAGGUGAAUAGUUAUAGUCUGUAACUACUCACAAAAACAUAACUAUUUGCAAGCAGCUGAAGUCUUGCUUUAAAUAGCUUUAAAAGCUGAAGUCUUGCCGUAAUAGCUUUAAAACAAGCAUGUGUCAUCAUAGUAUUACCAGGAAUAAAGUCCAAAGCUUUUAGAAGAGAAGAGAAAGGCACUCAGGAAGCAUGAGAAAAUGAGAAACUCCACAGGUCCAAAGUACAAGUGGUGGUUUUUAUCAUUUUUAAACAGCAUGCUUGGCCACUGGGAAACUGGACUGAGAUGUCAAAAAAGUGCAAGUAACAUCCAGCUUCUGGGUUGCAGUGAGUUUUCUGGGCUGCAUGGUCAUGUUCUAUAAGCAUUCUGGAACAUGGCCCUACAGC
Molecule: non-coding RNA, 11035 nt
Organism: Anolis sagrei ordinatus
Lineage: Eukaryota; Metazoa; Chordata; Lepidosauria; Squamata; Anolidae
Source: RefSeq, a predicted model, not a curated record